GGGGUUGUGGCUCAGUGGUAGAGUGCUUGCCUAGCAUGCAUGAGGCACUGGGAUCAAUCCUU
Molecule: transfer RNA, 62 nt
Filed under: Ictidomys tridecemlineatus (thirteen-lined ground squirrel)
Lineage: Eukaryota; Metazoa; Chordata; Mammalia; Rodentia; Sciuridae
Description: Spermophilus tridecemlineatus (thirteen-lined ground squirrel) tRNA
Rfam family: tRNA
About the family: Transfer RNA (tRNA) molecules are approximately 80 nucleotides in length. Their secondary structure includes four short double-helical elements and three loops (D, anti-codon, and T loops).
Source: Rfam by way of RNAcentral